CUCUAUCUUUAAUACCAAAAAAAAUAUGCAAAAUUUUCGAUCUAAAAAAGUACAUGUUAAUUGUAAAAAACCGAAAUUUCGAUUUUCUUUAAAAACUACAAUUUUUUCAAUUUUAAUAAUUAUGUGCAAGGUGCCCCUUUGCGAGGAGUACUUAGCCGUUUUUAAAUGAAAGCUCUAUCUUUAAUAACAAAAAAGUUAUGCAAAAUUUUCGAUCUAAAAAAGUACAUGGUAAUUGUAAAAAACCGAAAUUUCGAUUUUUCUCAAAAACUAUAAUUUUUUCAAUUUUGAUAAUUAUGUGCAAGGUGCCCCUUUGCGAGGAGUACUUGGCCGUUUUUAAAUGAAAGCUCUAUCUUUAAUAACAAAAAAGUUAUGCAAAAUUUUCGAUCUAAAAAAGUACAUGUUAAUUGUAAAAAACCAAAAUUUCGAUUUUUCUCAAAAACUAUAAUUUUUUCAAUUUUGAUAAUUAUGUGCAAGGUGCCUCUUUGCGAGGAGUACUUGGCAG
Anthonomus grandis grandis is the source of this 502-nucleotide long non-coding RNA. RefSeq lists it as uncharacterized. The transcript has 4 exons. Lineage: Eukaryota; Metazoa; Arthropoda; Insecta; Coleoptera; Curculionidae. The record is from RefSeq and is a predicted model, not a curated record.